Molecule: long non-coding RNA, 278 nt
Filed under: Elaeis guineensis (African oil palm)
Lineage: Eukaryota; Viridiplantae; Streptophyta; Magnoliopsida; Arecales; Arecaceae
Description: long non-coding RNA (EGUI_LNC036204)
Source: RNAcentral
CAUGCCAUAUUAGUGUCUCCACACCUUUUGAUUAUGAGGACAACCAACACAUAUGCCAUACAAUGACCUACACUUGAUAUUACUGUUGUCCUAGUAAUAGCAUAUCAUUUGGUCGCGAACCAGUUUAAAGACUAUACAAUAAAUCUUCCUUUAUCGAUCAAAGUAGUCCUAAGGACUUCAUCAUAAUAUAAGAGUUCUUUAAAAGAUGUAAUCUUAUGAUGAAAAAGGUCAAAAAGACUUUUAUUAUUGAUUAAUUCAUAUACAUUUAUAAUUAGCAC